RNAcentral lists this ribosomal RNA (460 nucleotides) under Capnocytophaga granulosa. Its description in RNAcentral is "bacterial SSU rRNA". It matches the Rfam family "Bacterial small subunit ribosomal RNA", at positions 28 to 491 of the family's 1533-position model. The record is from RNAcentral. Lineage: Bacteria; Pseudomonadati; Bacteroidota; Flavobacteriia; Flavobacteriales; Flavobacteriaceae.
GAUGAACGCUAGCGGCAGGCCUAACACAUGCAAGUCGAGGGAGAAGCCCUUCGGGGCAGAAACCGGCGCACGGGUGCGUAACGCGUAUGCAACCUACCUUUCACAGGGGGAUAGCCCGAAGAAAUUUGGAUUAAUACCCCAUAAUAUUAUUGGAUGGCAUCAUUUGAUAAUUAAAAUUACGAUGGUGAAAGAUGGGCAUGCGUCCUAUUAGCUAGUUGGAGUGGUAACGGCACCCCAAGGCUACGAUAGGUAGGGGUCCUGAGAGGGAGAUCCCCCACACUGGUACUGAGACAGGGACCAGACUCCUACGGGAGGCAGCAGUGAGGAAUAUUGGUCAAUGGUCGGAAGACUGAACCAGCCAUGCCGCGUGCAGGAAGAAUGCCUUAUGGGUUGUAAACUGCUUUUAUAUGGGAAGAAUAAGGAGUACGUGUACUUUGAUGACGGUACCAUAUGAAUAAGC